This 481-nucleotide ribosomal RNA is filed under the name uncultured bacterium. RNAcentral's name for it is "bacterial SSU rRNA". It matches the Rfam family "Bacterial small subunit ribosomal RNA", at positions 29 to 506 of the family's 1533-position model. The record is from RNAcentral.
AUGAACGCUAGCGGCAGGCCUAAUACAUGCAAGUCGAACGGUAAGUUGAGUAGCAAUAUUUGACCAAGAGUGACGUAAGGGUGCGUAACACGUAUGCAAUCUGCCCUGUACAGGUGAAUAGCUCGGGGAAACUCGAAUUAACACACCGUAAUAUAUUGGAGAGGCAUCUUUUUGAUAUUAAAACUGAGGUGGUACAGGAUGAGCAUGCGCAUGAUUAGUUAGUUGGCGGGGUAACGGCCCACCAAGACGAUGAUCAUUAGGGGAACUGAGAGGUUGAUCCCCCACACUGGCACUGAGAUACGGGCCAGACUCCUACGGGAGGCAGCAGUAGGGAAUAUUGGACAAUGGGUGGAAGCCUGAUCCAGCCAUGCCGCGUGCAGGAAGAAGGCCUUCUGGGUUGUAAACUGCUUUUGCCAGGGGAUAAAAAGCUCAUGCGUGAGAAAUUGAAGGUACCUGGUGAAUAAGCCACGGCUAACUACGU